UGGACCUCAGAUCAGGCAAGAUUACCCGCUGAGUUUAAGCAUAUCACUAAGCGGAGGAAAAGAAACUAA
RNAcentral lists this ribosomal RNA (69 nucleotides) under Syzygiella perfoliata. Its description in RNAcentral is "partial 26S ribosomal RNA". It matches the Rfam family "Eukaryotic large subunit ribosomal RNA", at positions 1 to 68 of the family's 3401-position model. RNAcentral also lists the same sequence under 4 other names. Lineage: Eukaryota; Viridiplantae; Streptophyta; Jungermanniopsida; Jungermanniales; Adelanthaceae. The record is from RNAcentral.